CAUUUCUUCUAUCCUCCUUUACAGUAAACAUCUAUUUCUGCUAUUUUCUUUCAUGUCUUACUAUUCAUCGAUCCUCUGAUUGCUACCUCUAUUACAAUUUAUCUCAUUAUCAUUUCUAUUGUUUUCUUCUGGUCUUAGAAUAUUAUGUUGUUCCUUUCAUUCCAUAUAUGGUAUAUUGCACAUGCCGGGGUCAAUCUAUAGACUUGAGAUGCUGCAUUGUUUCCAGGUGCAUUGC
RNAcentral lists this long non-coding RNA (235 nucleotides) under Nicotiana benthamiana. Its description in RNAcentral is "long non-coding RNA (NBEN_LNC011625)". The record is from RNAcentral. Lineage: Eukaryota; Viridiplantae; Streptophyta; Magnoliopsida; Solanales; Solanaceae.